AAAAAGGAGCUUCUCAGCUCCUUCCAUAUUCUCAGAUGGAAUAUG
This is a non-coding RNA of Ailuropoda melanoleuca (giant panda), 45 nucleotides long. The record is from Rfam. NCBI's taxonomy places the organism in Eukaryota, Metazoa, Chordata, Mammalia, Carnivora, Ursidae.